This 21905-nucleotide long non-coding RNA is filed under the name Populus tremula. RNAcentral describes it as "long non-coding RNA (PTRE_LNC002542)". The record is from RNAcentral. Lineage: Eukaryota; Viridiplantae; Streptophyta; Magnoliopsida; Malpighiales; Salicaceae.
AGAAUUCCAACAUUGUACAUGUUGGUUAUGUCAAUGAGUAUACGCUGGUUGUUUUCAAGAAAAGAAUUUAUAGUGUUGGCUACUUUCAGCAAUACCAGCUGCCAGCUGAUUGCCCAUCUAUCAUGAAUAAUAGACCUCAUUUGGAGAAUUUAGAACCUCUCACGGAGAUCAAGAAAGGGGAACAUGAGAAAAGCAUAGCUUAUUUGCCCAAUUUCAUUGAUUUGCCCGCCAGGAAGCAGUUAGUGUAUGUUGAGAUUGGGGGUGGCGAGCAUAUGAAUUCUAGCGUUUCGAGUUGGUUCUUGCCAUCUUAUCCCGCAGAUCACAGCACCUUCAAUGUUUUUUUUGUCGACCAUAACACCUCGGUCCUGCUUUCUUGUGUGAAAAAGCCUGGUGUUACCUUCAUUUAUUAUCCAGGCCUUGCUGGAGAUGAGGCUACUCUUGAUCCUGAUUUGGAAGAGUUCGAUCCAUCCAUGCGAGAUGAAGGGUUUGAUUUCCUUGCUUGGUUUAGAGAAACAGUGCAGUAUGCUGACUUUGUGGUUUUAAAGAUGAAAGCAGGGGAGGUCGAACUGAAAUUUCUGUCUGGUUUGUUCAAAAGCGGAGCCAUAUGCUUUAUUGAUGAGCUGUUUCUCAGUUGCUCAGAUCAGGACGGUGAAAAAGGCCGGGAGAAGGGAGACUGCUUGGAUCUCUUCAAGAGCCUUAGAAACACUGGUGUGUAUGUCCAUCAGUGGUGGGGAGAGUAACCACCAAUUGAUGUCUGUUGAACCCUAUGUGCGAUGGAGUCUUGUUUAAACUGUGUGUGCUGUUUUUCCAACGUUAUCGUGGUUGUGUCAAGUUUCUUGUAAGAAUGCAGUGGAGGCAUUCAAAGUUGCUUAAUGGUUGGGCACUUUAGCUAAAUAAUCAACCAUUGUCUUUCAUGUUGUUGAAUAAAUUAUUGUGUGCUUUUUAAGAUGCUGUUCGUGGUGAUUUUUCCUUUUUUAUUCUUGAAGUGUUUUGGGUGUCGUUCUCAGAAUAUGAUACUCAUGGAAGCUAUUAAUUAAUUAUUAUAUCAUGUGAUUGUGAGCCUCACCAACCUCGCUUUACAGCUCACUUUCUUCACAUCAAGGCAUCGCUUUGGAGGUCGUUUUCUCGCAUUUGGAUUCCUCGUAAUCAAUAUCAAAGACGUAAUCUUUGCUAAUAGCAUUCAAAGACUUGAUUAAUUAUUCAAGGGAUUCCAGUUCCGCUACUGAUAGAUGAGUGGAAGCCUCUCAUUCUCUGCUCUCCAUGAAUGUACUGAGGUUGAAACGAGUCCCGUGUUCUUGACUCGCAUGUUCGGCUGCCUGGCUUCUGAGAUCACCUGCAUUUGUAUAGCCUUGGCUUCUUGUCGGUGGACAAGAAUCUAUAGGAAGGGAAGCCGAAAUGCCGUGGUUGAUCAGAUCAUUAUCUAAUCUUGCUAUUUUCAUAAAUUAACUUUUUUCCAUUUUUAUAAAACGAAACAAAAAACCUUUUGUGGAUUAAUAAUGGUGGCAAAUUGAUAUUACCAGUCACUCUGUUACCGUUUUAUGCAAGUCAUUUUAUCCUUCCACCACAAGGAAAUGCCAUGUGGUUAGGCAGGAGAAUGAACGGAUGACCACAAUUCAAUACAAUCCUUUCCUAAAAAAUUAUGAAGCUAAAUUCAUGUUCUGUGUCGUAUUCUUUUUUAAUAUCUGUUAUUCAAGUUGAGAAUUAGGGCAUGUUUUUUUCUGCCUGUGAAUUUUUCAAUACAUUUUCAUAUUUAUUCUUACAGUCUAAAAUCACAUGCAUUUAUUAACAUAUACUAAAAGAGCUGUUCUUCUUCUUUUUUUUUUUUUUUACUUUAAAUCAAUUAUUGUAUACUAAUGGAUUGAAGUGGUGAAUUUUUUUUUUUUUUUUGUAAUUUUCAAUUUGUUCUUAAAACUUUUAUAUUGCAUGAUUUAGUUUUUUUAAGCCUAAAAUAACACAGCACUCAAUUGUAUAAUUUUUUUGAGAGGAAAGGUUGAACUAAAAGAUAAAGGACUAAAAGCACGGGUAAAGUAGGGUGGUAGAUUUUAAAUUUUUUUGAAAAGUUUAUUUUUACCCUCUAUUUUUUUUAGUUAUUAGGUAAUUAGUCCCUUUAAUUUUUAAAAAUUUAAUUUUGAUACUAAAUUUUAUUUUUUUUAUUUUCAAUCAUUUUUUUGUGAGAGGAAAGAGAGACUUAUCGGAUUUCAGCUUAGAAAAAAAAAGUUAUCAUUAACAGUGAUUCCAACCACUAAAAUUAUUAAUUUUUUUGUCAAAAGAUUUCAUAUAAUAAAGUGAGUUCAAAUUAGAUAUGUGUGUGUUUGUUUGUUUUUUUUUUUUUUACCUUGAAAAUAUCUAAAAAAUAUAUUUGAGUCUGAAAAGAUUUUUUGUUUUUGUUUGAUUUUUGUUUUUGAGGAAAAAAUAAUGGGUUGAAAAUGAGUUUAUUGAUAAAAAAAAAUUAGAAAUCCUGUUUUUUCCAGCCAUUGUGAGGAUUCCGAGAUGAUGUGUUGUCCUUUUAUUUUCAAAUAAUUAAAGGCCCGCGCACAGGUUGUUGCUUACUUCUUAGUUUGGUGUGUGACUUGGUUUACCAGGUCCAAUAGCAUUUGGCCUCAUUCAUUUUUCAGUGUGUUUGAUCAAGUUGCAUUUUGACUCGUUAGGUUAAUAAGAUCAUAUAAAAUCAAAUUUAAUUUAAAAUCAGGACACAACCCAAUAACUCUUCAAUUUUAAUUGAAAUAUAUUAAAUAAUUAUCUACUUGAGAUAUUAUUUUAUUGAAUAGAAAAAUUCAUUAGGGAUUUAAGAUGAAGGGCUUUUAAUCAAAUAGAUACCUUUUUUAUUUUGAUCUCUGAUAUCUAGAAAUUUUUAGGUAUUGUUUUUUAUUUUUAUUAAAUAAAGUAAAUAGAAAAAAAUAUGUUUUUUCAUGGAAAAUAAAAUUAACAAGAGAAGUAGAGGCUAUACUAGUAUAUCAUUUUGUUGCAAUAGGAUAUAAAUUAUUGGUUUUGAAGAUAAGUAAUUGAAAAAUAAUUAAAUAAGAAAAAUUUAACGGUUUUUUCAGUAUGAGUAUGAAAUUAUAUAUCUUAAUUUAUAAUUAUAUAUUUCUUGAUUGAUUUUUUUUUAUUGUUAACAACUUUCUUUUAAUAUUUAUUGGCUAAAAAAUAAUUCCUUUUUUAUUUUAUUAAAUACAUAUGUGGAAUUUUCAUUUUGCAACUAGAAUAUUUCUUGAUGUUAAGAACACUAAAAGCAAUUUAACUUAUGAUUCAACCAAUGUUUUUGUGUUUUAUAUUAUAAUCAUUGAAAUAAAAUAAUUAUAAAUGUCUUUCAGUUUUAAAUUUGUUUUCAAAUAAGAUUAUAACAAUAUUUUAUCUUAACAAAUGCUUUUUUCGAUGGUCCUUCAUAAAAACAAAUUAAGAGUUUCUAGCAUGAGAUUAAAUAUCUCUCUCUCUCUCUCUCUCUCUAUAUAUAUAUUAUAUAUAUAUAUAUAUAUAUAUAUAUAUAACAAUGUUAUGAUGUAGUCUUGGUUUAGUGAUGAUAACUUUGUUUUUUUUUGUAUUUAUCAACACAUGUAAUUUUCAUUUAGUUUUAUUAAAUACAUGUAUUAAUUUUUUAAUUAACAAUUAAUCUUUUUAUUAAAUUUGAAAAAUGCAGUGGCAAUGCUUGCUAAUUCAUUUUUUUAAGAUGAGAAAAAUUGAUUCCAUCCACAAUGCUAGCACAUGUUAACUGACUAGUACAUCAUUAAUGGAGGGUUUUUUUUUUUUUUUUUUUUUUCCCCGCAGGGGAUUUGAUGGACCGUGUAUCAUUCAUAAUGCACCUAAAUUUACUAUUGUGACUCUUUUUCUCUGUAGGAAAUCUAACCUAUUUAAACGUUCGAUUCUCAUGGAAACCAAGUUAAUCCUUGUUUUUUAAAAAAAUUAAGUUUUUUAUUAAAAAUUAAUUUUUUUUAUAUGUUUUGAAUCGUUUUAAUGUGCUGAUCUCAAAAAUAAUUUUUAAAAAUAAAAAAAAUUAAGUUUUUUAUUAAAAAUUAAUUUUUUUUAUAUGUUUUGAAUCGUUUUAAUGUGCUGAUCUCAAAAAUAAUUUUUAAAAAUAAAAAAAAUAUUAUUUUAAUAUAUUUUAACAUCAAAAAUACUUUAAAAAACAACUACAAGCACAAUUCCACACUCUUAAUGUCUUACUCAACAAGGGUUCUUUAAAGUCAAUAUAACAACAACACGUAAACCUGAAUUAUGGUAUCAUCUCUUAACAAAACUAUACUUUCCUUGUCAUAUAAUUUUUUAUUUAAAAAUAUAUUAAAACCCGAGUUUUUUUUAAAAAUAUUUUUUUUAUUAAAAGUUAAUGUUUUUUACAUGUUUUGAAUCGUUUUGAUACGCUGAUCUUAAAAAUAAUUUUUAAAAAUAAAAAAAAAUAUUAUUUUGAUAUAUUUUAGCAUCAAAAGUACUUUAAAAAACAACUUCAAGCAUAAUUCCAGACUCUUAAUGUCUUACUUAACAAGGUUUCUUUAAAGUCAAUAUAACAACAACACGUAAACCUGAAUUAUGGUAUCAUUUCUUAACAAACUAUACUUUCCUUGUCACAUAAUAAUUAUUUUUUAAAAUAUUUUUUAUUUAAAAAUAUAUUAAAAACCCAAGUUUUAAAAAAUAAUAAUUUUUUUAUUAAAAGUUAAUGUUUUUUACAUGUUUUGAAUCGUUUUGAUGCGCUGAUCUUAAAAAUAAUUUUUAAAAAUAAAAAUAAUAUUAUUUUAAUAUAUUUUAGCAUCAAAAGUACUUUAAAAAAUAACUGCAAGCACAAUUCCAGACUCUUAAUAUAUUACUUAACAAGGGUUCUUUAAAGUCAAUAUAACAACAAUACGUAAACCUGAAUUAUGGUAUCAUCUCUUAACAAAACUAUACUUUCCUUGUCACAUAAUAAUUUUUUUAAAAAAUAUUUUUUAUUUAAAAAUAUAUUAAAACCCGUGUUUUAAAAAAAAUUAAUUUUUUUUAUUAAAAGUUAAUGUUUUUUACAUGUUUUGAAUUGUUUUGAUGCGUUGAUCUUAAAAAUAAAUUUUUAUUUUUUUAAAAAAAUAUUAUUUUGAUAUAUUUUAGCAUGAAAAAUAUUUUAAAAUAUAAUUACAAGCAUACUUACAUACUCUUAAUGUCUUAUUUAACAAGGGUUCUUUAAGGUCAAUAUAACAACAACACGUAAACCUGAAUUAUGGUACCAUCUUUUAACAAAACUAUACUUUUUUUGUCACAUAAUAAUUAUUUUUUAAAAUAUUUUUUAUUUAAAAAUAUAUUAAAAAAAUAUUUUUUAUUUUUUAAAAUAAUUUUUAAAUUACCAUCUUAAAAUAUCUAAAAACAUAAAAAAUUAGUUUAAAAUAAAAAUAUAUAAAAUAUUUAGGCGUUCAUCUCCUAGGAAGAACAAGUAUGGCCGCAGAUAAAAUCGAGCAAGGAGCUAGGACAGCCUUUUAUCAUCAAUUUAGUUUUGUGGCAAGAAAUAUUUUAAUUAUAGACUCGAUCUGAUAAACAUAUCUCAUCAUAUAGCUGCAGGAAGCAAGGGAAGACUCUUUAAAAAAGCGCGGACUCCACAGUUUUUUUUUAAAAAAUAACUGUUAAAUUUUUAAAACUAUUAUAAUCUUAUUAAAAAACAAAUUAAAAAUUAAUUUAAUAUUAUAUUAGUUUUUACUUUUCAAAUUAUUUUUCACUUUAAAAAAUAUUAAACCCAAAUUUUUUAUAUUUUGUUUAAAGAUUUUAAUAUACCAUGUAAAUAAUAAUAAAAAUCUUUUAAAAAAAUUACUUUAAUAUAUUUUUAAUUGAAAAAUAUUUUUUAAAGUAGCUUAAACCACAAUACUAAACACAUAUUAACAACCAAAACACUAUUAAAAAAUAAAAUUAAAAAUUAAAAGAAAAUUAAAUUACUAUUCAAAUCAAUAAUAAUUUAUCUCUUCCUAGAGUCCCAAUAAGUUUUAAUUUAAAAGAUGUUUGGAAUUAUAGUAUAAAAUACUUUUCAAAAUUUUUUUAAUUUUAUUUUUAAUAUAAACAGAUCAAAAUUAUAUAAAAAAACAUUAAUUUAAUAGUUUUUUAAAAUCAAAUCUUGCCGUGAUUAACAUAUCUAAUUUUUUUUAUACUCCAUCCUCGGAUGACCAUAAUGACCUCAUCUCAGCAACCCACCAAGCACGUCCUCCAUCAACAAUCAUCUCUUCUGUUUUACCCCUUUCAAAAGUAGAGAAUCAUGAAGACAUUCCAAACCCAGUAGUGUUGAGAAACCAAACAUAUUCUAUAUUUCGAAUUCUUAAUAGUUCAAAGAAAUUGCCACCAAGGACUUGCAAAUGCUGGCUGAUGGCGUUGGCUUGCAUGUUUGGCACAAUGCCAGUAUUUUAACCUGCCACUUGCAUAUUUUCCCGUUUCAUUAUUACAGAAGCAGGGGAUUUGAAAGGAAAAUAAGACCAGCAAACUACUAUCCACAUACAAGUGGCAGCAGCACCUGUUUAGUCACUCAUCAGGCCCAUUGUUGACCUUUAUCUCUAGGAGCCUGUCAACUGGUUGCCUGCAGAUGGGGCAUCUGUUCGUUUGGAACCUCAAAACCUUUGCACAUCCACUGCACAUACACUGCAACGUGGGAGAAGAAGAAGGGUGAAAAAAAAACAAAGAAAGAAAGCAAAAGCAAAAAGAUCACUAGGCUAAUGUGUCACCAACAGAUAUCGACUGGAUUUCUAAAAUCAGAUUACUUAAAUAACCACUUAAAUGGAAAUUCAUGUCGAAGCAUUUUAGUCUAUUAAUUCACCAUGGUUACAUUGUUAAUGCACUGGCAGUAGUACACAACAUUCCAGACAGUUCAGCCUUGAACCUUCACAUGGAAUUCACAAGACUCUCUUAAUGCAGCAUUUUUGCAAUUGCAUUGGAUAUAGACACAAAACAGCAGGAAAAGUGUCAUGCUCAUGCCCGUUGCUAUAUAAUGUUCAAGGAAACCGUUUUCUGUAGCCUUCCUUCACAACUUAACAGAAUGAUUUUUCACCAUGAUAAAUAGUCCUUGCUUGAAAAACAAUUCCUAAAAUAUGAACAGUGGGUAAAGAGCAUCACUUCCUUGUUUCUUCCCCUUCAUGAUCUAAACUACCCCAGCCCAGUGAAAAAGGUAAAACGAGAGAGAAAGAGAGGCAAAAGAAAAAUAAAGAAAAUAGGGCUUACCAUGUGCCGGCAAGGAAGAACGGUAGUGUCCCGUGGUUCUGACAGGCAAAUGACACAUUCUUUACCUGGGUCAUUUGCAUCAACAUCACCAUCAACAGAAUUUCCAAUCCCGUAUAUCUCCUGAAGCUCAUAUCUCAUCCCAUUCACCCAGAGGAUCUGCUUCAUCACCCUUACUUGGUACUCACCUUUCUCCUUCUCAAACACUGCAUGUGUUAUCUGAGAGUUCAUAGCUCCAGACAUUUGGUUUCCUUCUGUUCCCUUUUGAUUAGCAGGGAAUGCCUCUGCUUUUACUGCUAGAGGAUAGGCAUCCAUCUCACCCUUUUUACCAACUCUUUCUCCUCAAACAAGGUGAAAUCAAUCCCUGUCCCAGAAGGCUGUCUGAACUUCUGGCCCAGACCUUGUUGGAAAUUAACUGUUACUGGUGGAAGGAGGUCUGCCUUCGUUGGUGUCAGGAUACAAUCCUCGCCUUCUUUUGCAAAGAAAAUAAUAGUGAUGCUGUUUGCAGAUCAAAGAAAUGCCGAGUGUUGCAAGAAAUUAAUACCAGAUGCUCAAUAACAAGAAAUGCAAAAGAGGAAAAAAUAAUUCAGACAUUCAGCUGAAAUGCAUAUAACCAAGAUUAAAACCAAUUUCUAUGACUGAACACAAAGCUUCUAUGAAUUCAAUAAACUCAGAGUGGAUCAGAAUUUAUGCAUGUCUUGCAAAAGAAAGUACCAAGAAAGCAUCCACAAUACAUCAAAAAGAUCAAUGAUGAUACCGACAGUAGCAAUUAGGAAAUACUCCCGAGCAAAGUCAAAUGCAUGGAAAAAAAAAAAAAAAAAAAACAGUUCAUCAUUCCACAAUCAUUUACCAUUCCCUUUGUUUAUGAGUUACUAAGCUAAAUGCUGAACGAUGAUUAUGAGAUUGUUAGCCAGACUUUUUCACAGAGUAUUAUUUUGUGAUAGAAAUUGACAUGAUUAGGACAAAUGAUCUACAUUUACUAUCUGAUUUCCUUUUAUAGAACACCAUAGUUUCCAGCUAAGAAAGUGACAUGUACUGAAAAUGAUAGUGUCUUUCACUCGAUUCAAGCGAUUGAAACUCUUAUGAAUGACAUCCAAUUGAUAAAAAUUGCAUUUUUGGGCUCCAAGCUUGAUUUUCCAUAAUGAUUAUGAGCACUUAAAGGGCGACAACUUUCUUUGCGAUUGAAACUCUUAUGAAUGACAUCCAAUUGAUAAAAAAUGCAUUUUUGGGCUCCAAGCUUGAUUUUCCAUAAUGAUUAUGAGCACUUAAAGGGCAACAACUUUCUUUUUUAUUUUUAUUUUUAUUUUUUUAUGAGGACACAACUCAAAAAUAAAAGGUCCACUAUCCAAUUACAGCAUACCACUGCAGAGGGCAAAAUGAGGGAGUUUACAAGCUUCCCAGCCCUUGAACCUUAUUGCAUGAGAUAGGAGUGGUGCUCUCAAGAUUCAAACCCCAAACUUCACAGAUGCAUGUCUAUUUUAACAUUCCACCAAGAAUGACCCCUAUGUAAUUGGAUUGGAAGAACAAAAAACCAUUCCAUUUAUCAGUCAUGAUAAAAUCCCAUUAAGAACAGAAUACCAUACAGUCUUUAAAACAUAGCACAAGCUGAGAAACCUAACUAAACACCCGUUCCGAUGUUCUCUUCACUGAAGAGUCAUUCAGAAAUAACCCCAGAUUCAUCAUCUCGUCAAUUUUGUGAACAAUCCCAAUUUCUAAGACAAGAUUAGAUGUCUUAAGCAGGCCCAAGGAUCUCUGAUUAGGAAAAUCCUCUGAAAUAACUUGCCUGAAAAUAAAUAUAUUCUACCAAAUCAAUCUUCACUACACAAAAGGAUAGGUUUCAACUUCGGGCAGUUAAACCAUUUCCUUCAAGCUGUCAAAUCACCAUACAAAACUCCAGGUAUGCUAAACGCAAAAUUCUUACUUGCAAGUAAUGUAAUCCCUAAUAAGAACGUCAAGUUAGCUCUUGCUUUCUACCAUUCUAUCCAAGGAGUAACUUUGACAUUCGUACAUCUAUAAAAGUGGAUUCACUCCGAGAACAAUCCUCAACAAUGAUAGCUAAAAAAUACAAUUUUCGAAUAUUGGCAACAUAUCAAGAUGAUUAUCACCAAGUAGUGAUCAAACCAUGUAAAAUGAAAUUAUUUGUAAAUCAUCCACUGACCCUACUAGCAAGAAGUUAAACCAAGGAGUCAACAAUCAAGAUUUUAUAUAAAUACUCAUUCAAAAUUCUCUCAAGUCAAAAACUUUCAAAGUCAAAUUACUUUACGAAGAACAAGCUCCUUCAACAAUCAAAAUCCAGUGCUGCUAUUAAACAAUGACGGAAAAAACCUUCGAAAAAAAAAAAAAAAUCUUUCUACACAUAUGCAAUAACAAGAGUACAGCAUCAAAAUAAAAACAAAAACAAUUUUUAAAACAAAGCUUUAACCUUUACCUUCCAGCAACAGUAGCAUCAAAUGUGAACGUAACAAGAUAGCUCCCUGGAUUCUCCUCGUCCGGUUCAAUCCUCAAACUCUCCUUCUUCAAAUUAACAUCAUUCCUUAUAGUAACCGCCUUCUGGUGCUCCACAUAAGGCGCCGGUUGGGGCAUCAUUGGGCACCUCCCACCCACCCAAUGAGCCGCCGGAUGGUCCACCCGGUGGUGAUGAUCAUACGGAGCUGGCAAAGGCACAGGCAUCGCUGUUGGCUGGGCUGGGUAGUAGCCAGGGUGCUGGUAGUAUCGUGGAGGGUUAGGGUUUGGGUAUUGCGAAGGGUAAGGUGUUGCCGCGGCGAAAACGUAACGGUUGGCCGUGAUUUCAGGCUGUGGGGGUGCUGGCGUUGGAGGUGGAGGGUGGCUCCGCCGGCUGCCGAGGCUCCGCCUGUUGUUAACAUUGUUUCUGCUGCUGAUGUUGCCCAUGAUGAAGUUUUGGGUUGGGUUGGACUGUUUCUGUCUUUUUUAGGUUCACAGUUUGCUAAAAAAACAGGUGAGAGAAUUAUCCAGUAGCUUUGUUUAGCUGUAACUGACAGAAGCGGAUCUGGAACUUUCAACGGUUCUGUUUUUUGUUUUAUUUUUGUUUUAAUGGCAAUCAUAGAAAGGAAGGAAACGAAGGGAAAGUUUUCGGUUAGGAAGGAAAUGGAGGGAAACAACGAGGAGAUUUUUUAUUUCUGCUUUUGUUUGCUGUUUAUACAACAACAACAAGGAGAAGAGAGGGAGGAGGAGGAGAAAUGAUUUUGCAAAAAGAGAAGAACACGAGGGAUGAAGAGAGGAUGGAGGAGGAGGAGGAGGAGGGGAAUCUGGGGGUGGGUGGUAUAAUGGGAUUGCGUAAAGCUCCACCCACAAUCAGAUCAUGCCAAAGUUGGCUGCUUUUUUUUCUUUUAUUAUUUUUUUUUCAUUAAUUUAUUGAUUAGUGGGAAAAAAUUUCAACUUUUUUAGUUGGAUUUGUUAUUAUCUAAAAGAGCAAAACAAGUUGGUAUUAUUAUUUAUUAUAGUUUGAGUGCGGUUGUUUAUAUUUGUAAGUGUAUUUUUAAGAAUAUUUUAUUUGAAAAAAAAAAUUAAAUUAAUAUUAUUUUUAGUAUUUUCUUAAUAGUUUUAAGGUGUUAAUAUUAAAAAUAAAAAAUAUUUUAAUAUAAUUUUAAAUGAAAAGUAGUUUACACUACAUUAUUAAAUACCCAAUCAAUACUAUUAAUUUAAAGUAUUGAGGUUCCUAUUAUAUUUGUAUCAUAUCAUAGUAAUUGUUUGAUUAUUUUCUCCAGAUAAAUAAGAAAAAAAUAAUAAAAAAAAGGGCAUGAAUUUUUAUCUAUUUUUUUUAAAGUAUAAAAAAUUACUUAAAAAUGGUUCCAAAAUAUAUGUGUAUGUGUGUGUUAUAUUAAUAUCGAAGUAUUGUUGAUGGAUUGAUCAUUGAUUCUUUAAUCAAUAUGCUAUUUGUCUUUUGUUUUAUCUUUUAUAUAAGAAAUAAAUUACAAUGAGAAACUGAAUCUCGAUUAAAGAUAUAUAGCAGCCUUAUAAAUCAAAGUGAAGUGUGGAGUUCUAAACUUAACUUUCAUAGGUUAAAAGUACAUGAGAAAGAUAUGUAAUAUGCAUGAAAAUCUUAGCCUAACCCAAUAUAUCCAACAUGCUCGGAUAAGAACAAAAUGAAUAGGUCAAGUAUAUAUUUUUUAAAAAUAUCAAAAGCUGGGUUAGAUAUAAUUAUAGGUCAAAACCCAACCCACUAUAUUUAUAAACACACAUAAUUAAAAUUAAGUAAAAAUAGUUUAUUGAUCAUGUUUAUAAUGACAAAACUUACUCUAACACUACCAAAUAUGAUGAUGGAAAGGUUAAAGUACAUUGUUUUUUUUUUUUAAUAUUAAAGUUAAUGUAUAAAUUAAAGAUGAGCCUAAAAUAACCUAUAUGCAUGAAAGUUUAUUCAAAGAUUAUUAUAAUAAUAUGAUACCGUUACUCCAUGCUUAUAAAGAUUGUUUUGCUUGGGAUUAUGAUGAGAUUCUUGAGCUAGCCAUAAGUUUGAUCAAACAUCCAUUAUCAACCUAACUUGGGUUUAAGACAUAAAGCAACAUCUUUUGAGAAUGACUUUAUGUGUGAUUGAUCAUGUAAAAAAGGAAAUAAAAUGAAUGUUAAAGGAUGGAUUCAUUAAGCCAACUAGAUAUGUUAAAUAGAUUUCUAAUAUUAUGCUAAUACUAAAAAAAAAAUGGAAAACUAAGAUUUUAUGUAGAUUUAAUAAAUCUUAAUUUUAUAACAUCAAAUGAUAAAUAUCCAAUGUCAAUGACUAAUAUAUCAAUCGAUUCAAUAGCAAGGAAUGACAUCUUUAGUUUUAUGAAUGGCUAUUCAGGUUAUAAUUAGAUUGUCAUCACUAAAAUGAUGUUUCAAAGACCGUUUUUAGAUGUCCUGGCUCAUUAAAAAUAUAUGAGUAGGUAGUUAUGUCAUUUAUCCUUAAUAAUAUUAGUGUUACUCAUAACAAGCUAUGAUUUUGUUUUUUCAUAACAUAAUUAAUCAUAACAUAGAGGUCUAUAUUAAUGAUGUUAUGAUGAAAUAAAAAUAAAAAUCUAUUUAUUUAGACAAGCUAUAUUAUAUCCUUAAGUGAAUGCGAAUGCAUAAUCUCAAGAUAAAUUCAUUAAAAUAUGCAUUUUGUAUGCAUGUAUAGGGGUAGACAAAAACAAAGUAAGGGGGGUUAUGAAAGCUUGAUCUCCAUAAAUAAAAAAGAAAUUGUAAAGCUUUGUAAAUAAAAUUAAUUUUUUAAAGAGGUUCAUAUCAAACUCUUUAAGAAAGAUUAUGUCAUUUACUAAACUACCAAGAUGGAAUAACAUAUAUAAGUUUCAAUGGAUUAAUAUCAAAUUGCAUUUCAAGAAAUAAAAACUUAUCUAACUAAACCUUUAGCAUUAACCAUACCAAAGCCUAUGAAGCCUUUAAGGCUAUAUAUUUUAGUUGUACAAGGGUUGAUUAGAAAAAUGAAAUUGGCUAUAAACAAGCUAUUAAUUAUCUCGAUCAUGUCUUUAUAGAGGAUGAAGAAUGAAAUAUUUUAAUAGAAAAACUUUGUUUAUCCUUAUGUUUUAUUGGUGUAAAGUUAUAUUGGUACAUACUAAUAGUUAAACUAUGUAUACUAUAAAAUAAAUUUGAUAAAAUACAUAUUAUCCAAACCUUUCUCUCACGAUCAAAUUGGUAAUUAGAUAUUAACAUUGUUUGAACUUGAUUUACAUUGUAUUCCAUAAAAAAUAGUAAAAGUCAAGCUUUGACUAAUUUAUUAGUUGAUCACCACUACCUUGAUAUCGACAAUGAACUGGAAUAAGAUAUGAAUGUUGUUAACGCAAGACUUGUUUCACAGAUGUUAUGGUUUGAUGGAUUAAAAACAAAAAAUAAAGCUUGUGCAUAUGUGUUAAUAAUUUCUCUAAAAGGUCAUAAAAUGAUUUUAUUAUUUUAGCUUCAUUUUUCUUAUACUAAUAAUCAAGCUAUAUAUAAGGCCUUAGUCAUAAUUUUAAAGAUACUUAUAGAUUUAAAAGCUUAAUAAGCUAGAGUAACAAGAUAUUCGUUACUUAUUAUAAAAAAGUUGGCUAGUGAGUAUACAUGUGAACACUAACUUUAUAUUAUACGGUAAACAAACACUUUAUUAAUAGAUUUCCUAAUUUAAUUAUUUUUUUGUAAGAGGAAAUAGUAUAUAAACCAAUAACUUGGCUGAAUAUGGAUCAAGAUUAAAAUGGUCAUCGCUCAUCAUGACAUUAUUUAUAUGAGGAUUAUUAAUUGACUAACAUAGAUAAUAUACAUUAAGGAUAUGAUGAUAAGAAAAGGUUCAUAUUAUAUAGUAAGAAAAGCACAAAAUAGUAAGAUAAAACUAUUGUAAAACUUUUCUACCAAGUAACAAGUAAAAUGUCUCAAUAAAUCAAGUGGCAUUGAUCCACAAAAUAAUUAAGGAGAAGAAAUCAAAUCUUAUGUGUAGUAUCCUUCAUAAAAAGUUUAAGGUUAUUUAGACUAAAUGUAUUCAAUUAUAUUUUCCUUGAAGAUGAAUUAUGUAAAAGAUAUAAAACUAGAAUUUUUCUUAGAUAUUUAGGACCAAAAGAAGAAUUAUUAGUCAUGAUUGAUGUUUAUAAAGGACUUUUUAGGGUUGUUGAUUACUCAAAUAUUAUUUUGAUAAAUAUGAUACCAGUUUAUCAUUUCUAUAUUCUAAUUGGGAGAAACUAUACAAUAGGAACUUAAUCCUAAUAAGAGACAUCUAAAAACCUCAUAAAAUCAAGAAAAAUAUAAGGAUUUAAGAGUUCAAAGCUUUAAAAAAGGUAAUUUCCUUCAUAACAACACCACAUAAGGAAAAUAACAUGUUUAAAAUGAAGAAGAUAAAUAAUUUGAAUAAAUCUAUUUGUAGGAAAAUAAAGCAAAGCCGUAAAGAAAGCAAUAAAAACCCUUCAGAGGAAUAUAUAUAUAUAUAUAUAUAUAUAUAUAUAUAUAUAUAUAUAUAUAUAUAUAUAUAUAUAUAUGUUCUAGUUAUUGUUCAAAGUGACUAUAUGACGUUUUAUAUAUUGAUACAAAGUUUAAAUCUUGUUUAAACAUGUAAAUCCUAAUUUAUAUAAAUGUAUAAGUAAAGAGACUUUAUUAGAUUAUAAUGCAAUCUAAAAUCCUUAUUUAUUGAUAUUAUAUGAAUCAUAAGUUAAACUUAUGGAUUCUUACUGGUUAUUCUAUUAAUGACUCUUACACUAAAUAAUACUAGGCUCGCUGUAAUAGAGAUAGUGUGAGAGAGCUAUGUAAAGAAUGUAAUAUUGUACCAUGUAGAGAUCUCAAAAGGAAUGGUGUUUUUCAAUCAAGCAAAUAUGGAAUUUGAGGCAAAGCCAAGAGUUCAUAAAAGGGUCUGGUUAAUGUUUCAAAAAUCAAUAGGUGUCCUCGUGGGUGGGAAUCAUACCUCCUCCAGGUUUUGCACUCGCUAAGUCCCCUAGCUUUCUCUUAGCUUGCCUUAUCUCUAUUUUGAUUGCUAUUUUUUUUAUUAAAGACUCGAUCUUUUUGAAAAAAACUAGUAAAACUUGUCUUUGGCACCACUCUUGUGGUUGAAAGUGAAAGAAACAUGAAUUUGAAGGCCUUGAGAUGCCAGAUACUUAGUGGAUCCAUAGCCAGACGUGUACUUCUACGAGCAUUUAUGCUUGCCACGGAUAUUUCCAUCAUUCCUUUGUUGCAGAUCUUGUCUGGGUCUGAUCCUGGGUUGUUGCUUGAUUCUGUGAGGUACAAGGAAUGUGAUUUCCCCCUUAUGUUUAUGGGCUCAAAUUUGUUAAAGAAUCGAUUUUUAAAGCCAAUCUGGGGCACAAUUGACUGCAAGGACGGUAUGAAUGUGACAACUAAUGUUGCUAGAGAGCUAAUGGGUAUGCAAAUGAUAGAUUCUAUGAUGUACAUCAUGGGAAUUAUAAUCCAUCUCGUAAAGCUAAAUCUAAUAUGCAAGAGGAUUUAGAUGGUCCAAUGACAAGAGGGAGAGCGAAACAACUACAACGGGCCUUGAGGAAUCAAAUUGCGAUGAUUGAAGCUGCGUCGAAGUUAAAAAUUAACAAUCAGUUUGAAAUUGGUUCAAGGUGCUUAUUUGCCUACAAUUGGAAAUUGGAGAUGGGAAAAGCCCUUAAUGGUUCUUUUCAUGCUGGCUACUUGUAUUUGGAUUGAUAAUGCAAGUGAAGGAAUUGAUGUUGUUUACGGUCAGAACAGUAGAUGGAUUUGAACCCGAAUUUGAAGUCAUCAUGCAUGUGAAAAAGAUUUAUCUAGGUAAAAUUCAAGUUCAGAACGUGAUCUUUUCUAUUGUCCAACCAUGAUUGCAUUGACUUUUGUGUCAAAAGUUAUGGCUAUUUUAAAUUUGGCUGCUUAUGUUUCAGAAAUGUAAAAAAAAAUGUUAUUAGUUAAAUUUGUCUACUUACUUUAUUAAAAGUCUAGUUUUUAGGCUUGACUUCUGUCAUGUUGAAUUCCUAACUUUAGAGGGAUGUUCCAAUAAAUAUAGUAUCAGAAUAUGUAAUAAACUUUUGGCCAAGAUUUGAAACUUAAUUCAGAGAAUUAAAGUUGUUCUUCCAAAUUGUUUUGUGAAGAACCAUACCUAACUUAUCACUCUUCAAUCACAAAGAGUGUGGCAUCGAAAUCCUAGAUUGAUCUUUGUGGCAUCCAGAUCAACUUAUCAAAGUAUCAUUCUAGUCUAUCCUCCAUCUUAUUUAUCUUAAAAUCACUACAAUCCAGCCUAAAUACCAAAAGAAAGACAACACAACCAAACUUAUCCUUCAUCCAUUUUUGUUAGAAUCAUUGUUGCUGAUUUUCAAAUCAUUCAUGGUAUAUCAUCUGGUAUCAGAGCAUCAGUUGCGAUUUAAGAUAGGAGCCAUAAACAACAACAACAAGAAGAAAGGUUUGCUGGAAUUGAGGUUGAUAAACUUAAUUAUGGCUGGAGAUAAAGAAGAUUUUCCAAGAGGGUUAAGUUUGGAACAUGCAUAGGUUAUGGGCUUACAAUGAUCUCAUGCUGAGAUUCGAGAUGAAAUGACUGGAAUUCGUGAGCAGUUGAAUACCUUUAUGCAAAUGAUGCAAAUAAAUAAUUUGCAACCCAACAGAGGCAAGCACUUAGGGUGCCACGAAAUGAUAUUAUAGAAGUUGACGAAGAUCCAAAUGGGGAUGAUGAGGCUGAUGAUAGGGUCAAACCAAGAAGGCAUAAUUAUAAUCCUCCUAAUGGUCUCAAAUUUAACAUUCCACUGUUUAGAGGAAGUAGUUCACCUGAGGAAUACUUGGAGUGGAUUCAGAAGGUUGAAAAGGUGUCUGAAUGGUAUGAAUAUUCUAAAGAAAGGAAGUGCAAGGUGGCAGCACUUGAGUUUACAUAUUAUGCUUUUUUAUGGUGGGAAAACUUAAAGAUUCAAAGGAGAAGGGAUGGAGAAAAGGAGAAGGGAUGGAGAAGAGGAGAUUACAACAUGGGUAACUAUGAAAAGAGUGAUAAAGAAGAGAUUUAUUCCUGAUUAUUAUAAAUAGGAGCUAUACAUCAGACUUCAGACUUUGCGACAAGGAUCUUUGAGCGUGGAAUAGUUUGAGUUGCUUCUGAUUCGAUGCGAAUUGAUGGAACCUCAAGAGCAAACAAUAACUAGAUUUCUUGAAGGGUUGAGGAAGGAUAUAGCUAAUGUUGUUGAAUUACAGCCGUACAUCUUCCUUGAGGAAGUUAUAAAGCUUGCAACCCGAGUAGAGAGGCAGCAGAGACGAGGAGGUGUCCGAACUGGUGUAACUAUGUCAAGCACGACAAGGGUUGUUUCUACGCCUACACGAACAUGGAGCACACCUAAACGAGAUGAGAAGGUGGAGUUUAGCAAGGGGAAUACCAGUUCUAAUUCUUUGAAGGAAAAGGAGAAGGUGACAGAACCUCAACAUCCUAAGAGGUCUCGGGACAUCAAGUGCUUCAAGUGCUAGAACAUGGGCACAUUGCUUCGAGAUGUCCAAAUAAAAAGGUGAUGAUUUUGUAUGGGGAUCAUGGAGAGCUGAUCGAUGGAGAUGAGGUUGAAACUAAAGAUGAAAAUGAGGUACAAGUGGCUGAACAAAAAGAGGAUUUCGAACUAGUGAAGGGAGAUUUGUUAGUUGUUCAACGGGUUCUGAAUGCACAAAUUAAUGUUAGUGAUGAGUAACGCGAGAACAUCUUUCAUACUCGAUGUCAAAUUCGAGAUAAGGUGUGUGGGAUGAUCAUUGAUAAUGGAAGUUGCACUAAUGUUGCGUCAACUACCUUGGUGGAGAAAUUGGGUUUAACUACCCUUCCACAUCCCAAGCCAUAUAGUUUGCGAUGGCUGAAUGAGAAUGGGGAGAUUCGGGUGACAAAGCAAGUUCGUGUACCUUUUUCCAUUAAAACCUAUCACGACGAGGUUUUGUGUGACGUUGCGCCAAUGUCAGCUAGCCAUUUGUUGUUAGGUCGUCCAUGGCAGUUUGAUAAGGAUGUGACCUACAAUGGACGAAAGAACACUUAUUCUUUUAUGCUGAAUGGAAAGAAGGUGAACUUGUUACCACUGAGUUCUCAACAGGUUAGAGAGGAUCAGUUACGAAGCCAACAAAAGGAGGUGACAUCACGAAAGGGAUGUUGUUAGCAAAAAAAGGAGACAUCAAACAAGCAUUAGCCACGAUAGGGAUUGUUUUCAUGGUCUGGGCAAAGCAACUACUACAAGUAGAAGGAUUGGACUUACCAAGACAGAUUAAGGAAUUACUUGAAGAAUUUAAAGAUGUGUUUCCAGAUGAAUUACCUAAAGGGUUACCACCUAUUCGUGGAUUGAGCAUCAAAUUGAUUUGGUGCCGGGAGCUUCACUUCCUAAUAGACCAGCAUACAGAUGUAAUCCAGAGGAAGCGAAAGAGAUUCAAAGGCAGGUCGGUGAGCUCUUAGAGAAGGGCUAUGUGCGAGAAUCACUUAGUCCAUGUUCCGUACCUACUUUGCUUGUACCGAAGAAAUGGUACCAUGAGGAUGUGUAUGGACAGCCGCUAUCAACAAAAUAACAGUUAAGUAUCGAUUUUAUACCCAGACUUGAUGAUUUGCUUGAUGAGUUGCAUGGUGCUGCAUUGUUUUCUAAAGUCGAUUUGAUGAGUGGCUAUCACCAAAUUAGAAUGAAAGAGGGAGAUGAAUGGAAAACAACAUUUAAAACUAAACAGGGGUUAUAUGAAUGGAUGGUAAUGCCGUUUGGGUUAUCUAAUGCCUAGUACAUUUAUGAGGCUUAUGAAUCAUGUUUUAAUGAAGUAUAUUGAGCUGUUUGUUGUAGUAUAUUUUGACGACAUCCUGGUGUAUAGCAAGACCUUUAAUAAUCAUGUGAAACAUCUUAGAAUUGUGUUUGAGACUUUGCAAGAUUCUAAGUUGUAUGAGAAAUUCACAAAGUUUUACUUCUAUAAAGAAAGUGUCAUGUUUCUUGGAUAUAUUAUCUCUAGCAGGGGAGUUAGAGUUGAUGAGGAGAAAAUUAAGGCAAUUCGAGACUGGCCAAAACCUGCUAGUAUCGCUGAUGUGAGGAGUUUUCAUGGUUUAGCUUCUUUCUACAGGCGAUUUGUGAAAGACUUCAGCUCUAUUGUUGCUCCUAUGACAGAAUGCUUGAAAAAAGGCAAAGAGUUUAGAUGGAGUGAAGAUGCGCAGAAAGCUUGUGAGCUAAUUAAGGAAAAGUUGUGUACUGCUCCAGUUUUAGCACUUAUAGACUUUGCUAAAACAUUCAAAAUAGAGUGUGAUGCUUUCAGGGUUGGAAUUGGUGCUGUUUUGAUGCAAGAAAAGAGGUCGAUUGCAUUCUUCAGUGAAAAGUUAAAUGGAGCACGUUUGAACUACUCUAUUUACGACAAGGAGUUCUAUGCUUUGAUUCGGGCUCUAGAGGUAUGGUAGCACUACUUGUUGCCUAAAGAAUUUGUUAUACAUAUUGAUCAUGAAUCCUUGAAGUAUCUUAAGUGGCAAAGCAAGAUGAAUUGAAGACACGCUAAAUGGGUGGAGUUUAUGGAGUCAUUUCCUUAUGUCAUAAAGUACAAGAAAUGGCAAGUUAAUGUGGUUGAUGAUGCUCUUUCUAAGAGGUAUGCACUGAUAUCUAUGUUGAAUGCAAGGUUGAUGGGUUUUGAACAAGUGAAGGAUCAGUAUGCCAAUGAUUCCUAUUGGUUUUGAACAAGUGAAGGACCAGUAUGCCAAUGAUUCCUAUUUUGCUAAUGUGGUUGCCGAAUGUGCAAAGGGAGCUUGUGAUGGGUUCUUUAUGCAUGAAGGUUACUUGUUCAAAAUGGGCAGAAUGUGUAUUCCUUCAGGUUCGUUACAGGAGUUGCUUGUGCGAGAGGCUCAUAGUGGUGGUCUUAAUGGUCAUUUUGGGGAGAAGAAGACUUAUGAGCUGCUGAAAGAACAUUUUUUUUAGCCUAGUAUGUUACGGGAUGUACACAAGAUGAUUGAAAGAUGUGGUAUUUGUAAGAGAGCAAGGGAUAAAGAGAAUGCAUAUGGACUAUAUAUGCCAUUACCUAUUCCAGAGCAACCAUGGAUGGAAAUUAGCAUAGACUUCGUACUUGGAUUACCAAGAACACAACGUGGGAAGGAUUUAAUAAUGGUGGUGGUUGAUUGAUUCUCCAAAAUGUUCCAUCUCAUUCCUUGUAACAAAACUAACGAUGCAGUACAUGUUGUUGAUUUGUUCUUUCAAGAGAUUGUUUGUUUGCAUGGAGUUCCUAAAAACAUUGUCUCUGAUCGUGAUACAAAGUUUUUAAGCCACUUUUGGAAGACUCCUUGGAGGAAACUUGGAAUGAAGUUACUUUUCAGUACGGCAUGUCAUUCACAAACUGAUGGACAAACUGAGGUAGUAAACUGAACUUUAUCUUCUUUGUUACGAACUGUUAUACAUAAGAAUAUAAAGAGUUGGGAUACUUGUUUACCUAUUACGGAGUUUGCAUAUAAUCGUAGUGUGCAUAGGGCUACAAAAUUUUCAUCAUUUGAUGUUGUGUAUGGCUUUAAUCCUUGUGUUCCUAUUGAUCUUGUUCAUAUUCCAAUUGAUGAGAGGACAUCUAUGGAUGGAAUUAGAAAUGCAGAAUUGAUGAAGAAACUACAUGAGCAGGUUCGACUGCAUAUUAAGGAGAAAACAACAAAGUAUGCUAAACAAGCUAACAAGGGGCGAAAGAUGGUCAGGUUUGAACCUGGAGAUCUUGUUUGGAUUCAUAUUAGUAAGGGCAGAUUUCCAAGCAAAUGUAAGUCCAAGUUGAUGCCAAGAGCUGAUGGCUCAUUUCGGAUUAUAGAGAAGGUGAAUGACAAUGCGUAUAAGGUAGAUCUUCUUAGUGAUUAUAACAUAUCAGCUACUUUUAAUGUGAAAGACUUGACUCUAUACUUGGAUGAUGAUGAAGAUUCUGAUUUGAGGACAAAUCAUUAUCAACCCGGGGCUGAUGAUGUGCAUCAUGGUAAUUAUAAUCCAUCUCGUAAAGCUGAAUCUAAUAUGCAUGAGGAUUCAGAUGGUCCAAUGACAAGAGCGAGAGCGAAACAACUACAACGGGCCUUGACGAAUCAAAUUGCGAUGAUUGAAUCUGCGUCGGAGUUAAAAAUUAACAAUCAGUUUGAAAUUGGUUCAAGGUGCUUAUUUGCCUACAAUUAGAACUUGGAGAUGGGAAAAGCCCUUAAUGGUUCUUUUGAUGCUAGGCUACUUGUAUUUGGAUUGAUAAUGCAAAUAAGUGAAGGAAUUGAUGUUGUUUACGGUCAGAACAGUAGAUGGAUUUGAACCCGAAUUUGAAGUCAUCCAUUGCAUGUGAUAACAAGACUUAUCUAGGUAAAAUUCAAGUUCGGAACGUGAUCUUUCUAGAUUGUCCAACCAUGAUUGCAUUAGACUUUUGUGUCAAAAGUUAUGGCUGUUUUAAAUUUGGUCUACUUAUGUUUCAGAAAUGUAAAAAAAAGCGUGUGUUAGUUAAAUUUGUCUAGUUAUUUUAUUAAAAGUCUGAGUUUUAGGCUUGACUUCUGUCAUGUUGAAUUUUCCUAACUUUGGAGGGAUGUUCCAAUUAUAAAUAUAGUAUCAGAAUAUGUAAUAAAGACUUUUGGCCAAGAUUUGAAACUUAAUUAAGAGAAUUAAGAGUUGUUCUUCCAAAUUGAUUUUUGUGAAGAACCAUACCUGACUUAUCACUCAUCAAUCACAAAGAGUGUGGCGUUGAAAUCCUAGAUUGAUCUUUGUGGCGUCCAGAUCGACUUGUCAAAGUAUCAUUCUAGUCUAUCAUUCAUCUUAUUUAUCUUAAAAUCACUACAAUCCAACCUAAAUAUCAAAAGAAAGACAGCACAACCAGACCCAUCCUUCAUCCAUUUUCGUUAGAAUCAUUGUUGCCGAUUUUCAAAUCAUUCACGGCACAUCAAUUCUAGUGCGAAAGUUAUCUGCGUCGGUGAAGGAUCGACUCCUGUAGUUUAUGCACUGCGAGAUUUAGGAUUUGUCAAUGCUUUUGGGGUUCAUAGACACCCCUUCUUCUCUCUUAAACAUAAGAGGAUGGUUUAUGAGCUUGAAUAUGCAGAAAAUUCCUUUGAUUUUGUGUUCUCAGGAGACCUAGACAAGGUUUCAGUCCCUGCCAUUGUUGUGCUCGAGAUCGAGCGUGUUCUGAAGCCUGGUGGAAUUGGGGCUAUUCUUGGUGGCCUUAAUAGUUUGAACGCCAAUAGCCUGAUCAGGUCUGCCAUGCCUUUGUCUUCAUUAUUGAAGAAUUCCAACAUUGUAUACGGUGGUUGUUUUCAAGAAAAGAAUUUAUAGUGUUGGCUACUUUCAGCAAUACCAGCUGCCAGCUGAUUGCCCGUCUAUCAUGAAUAAUAGACCUCAUUUGGAGAAUUUAGAACCUCUCACGGAGAUCAAGCAAGGGGAACAUGAGCAAAGCAUAGCUUAUUUGCCCAAGUUCAUUGAUUUGCCCGC